Molecule: unclassified non-coding RNA, 260 nt
Filed under: Hevea brasiliensis (rubber tree)
Lineage: Eukaryota; Viridiplantae; Streptophyta; Magnoliopsida; Malpighiales; Euphorbiaceae
Source: RNAcentral
GUCCGUCUUAAUCUUCAUCCCUAAAAUACAAGCCCUCUAAUAAAACCAGCCUAAUUAAAAACUAAAUCAAAUACACAAGAAUAUACAGGUUUUUAGAUUGGCAAACAAUGAAACAUAACAAAAUAAGAAUUAAAUCCAUGCUAGACCCAAACACAAAAUUAUUGAACCGUAUAAAAGAACAUAUACAAAUGGAAAAAAAUGACAAAUAGAACUUCAUACAAUAAUUGAUAGUUUGUGAUGAUUGUAUAAACAAAUUAUAA